AUGGAGGGGCUUCUACAUUGGGAUUUCUCCCUUGGUCAAGCAGCGGAGACACAGGUGCGCAAAAGGUUUGGUUCUACCGUUCAUUUCUCCUCUAUUGGAGGUGCAAGAGAAUUCUUCCUAUUGGUGGCUUUUUCUUCUGCCUCCUUUCCUCUUUCGAUCGAAUCAGUGGGUCUUGCCCUCCAAUGUUGCAUUGGUGGAUCCUCCACGGGUUUCAAUGUCAAACAUCUUGCUGGUCGGCAGUUUCGUUUUUCUGUGGCAUCAAAUAAAGUUGGGCAUUUUGUGUAUGGUCUUAAGGACCGGGUCUGCCAGAUUUUGUUUGUCAUUUCAAUCUUUAUAGGCACAAUGCCUGGUUUAAUUCUCAUUCAGAUCAAAGUUGGCAUUCUGACCAUGAGCUUACUGAGUUGGUUUCACGUUCUCCUCUAG
This 423-nucleotide ribosomal RNA is filed under the name Triticum aestivum (bread wheat). RNAcentral describes it as "partial small subunit ribosomal RNA". Lineage: Eukaryota; Viridiplantae; Streptophyta; Magnoliopsida; Poales; Poaceae. The record is from RNAcentral.